GAUGAAGAACGUAGCGAAAUGCGAUACGUAAUGUGAAUUGCAGAAUUCAGUGAAUCAUCGAGUCUUUGAACGCACAUUGCGCCCUCUGGUAUUCCGGAGGGCAUGCCUGUCCGAGCGUCAUUGCUGCCCUCAAGCACGGCUUGUGUGUUGGGCCCCGCCCCCCGAUCCCGGGGGGCGGGCCCGAGAGGCAGCGGCGGCACCGCGUCCGGUCCUCGAGCGUAUGGGGCUUUGUCACCCGCUCUGUAGGCCCGGCCGGCGCUUGCCGAUCAACCAAACUUUUUUCCAGGUUGACCUCGGAUCAGGUAGGGAUACCCGCUGAACUUAAGCAUAUCAAUAAGCGGAGGA
Molecule: unclassified non-coding RNA, 345 nt
Filed under: soil metagenome
Description: partial contains 5.8S ribosomal RNA, internal transcribed spacer 2, and large subunit ribosomal RNA
Rfam family: 5.8S ribosomal RNA (bases 1-120)
Source: RNAcentral